This 329-nucleotide unclassified non-coding RNA is filed under the name soil metagenome. RNAcentral's name for it is "partial contains 5.8S ribosomal RNA, internal transcribed spacer 2, and large subunit ribosomal RNA". The stretch from base 1 to 120 matches the Rfam family "5.8S ribosomal RNA", at positions 35 to 154 of the family's 154-position model. The record is from RNAcentral.
GAUGAAGAACGUAGUGAAAUGCGAUAAGUAGUGUGAAUUGCAGAAUUCAGUGAAUCAUCGAAUCUUAGAACGCACAUUGCGCCCCUUGGUAUCCCGAGGGGCAUGCCUGUUCGAGCGUCAUUUCACCACUCAAGCCUGGCUUGGUGUUGGGCGACGUCCCCUUUGGGGACGCGCCUCGAAACGCUCGGCGGCGUGGCACCGACUUUAAGCGUAGCAGAAUCUUUCGCUUUGGAAGUCGGGGCCCCGUCUGCCGGAAGACCUACUCGCAAGGUUGACCUCGGAUCAGGCAGGGAUACCCGCUGAACUUAAGCAUAUCAAUAAGCGGAGGA